RNAcentral lists this long non-coding RNA (1046 nucleotides) under Oryzias sinensis (Chinese medaka). RNAcentral describes it as "lncRNA (ENSOSIG00000014611.1)". The record is from RNAcentral. Lineage: Eukaryota; Metazoa; Chordata; Actinopteri; Beloniformes; Adrianichthyidae.
AAAAACAAACAGAAAGAACCAGCAUUCAUUACAGGUACAAUAAAACAAUUAAAACUGGACAAGCUGCUUUUUCCAGCCUUGAAUGAGAAACUAUGUAAAAUCAAUAAAUAUAUGAUGUUGACUGUUCAUAAAAAGGAACUCAAAACUUCCUUAAUCUAAAUUCCCCUCUUUUAGAACUUCCUCCAGUCUCACCUGUACUUAAAACAUAGAAUGACUUUUGGACUUGUUAGACUGAUUUAACCAGACUGGGUGGCUUUCAUACAGCUCAGAAGAUGCUUCUUUGCUUUCUUUUCAGCUUUUUUGUUUUUAAGGGCUCUGGUAAGUAAUUUCAGGAUUAACCAGAAUAGAAUAUACUCAAAGAUUUCCAUUUUUUAAGUAGAAAUAUGGAAUAAAAGCACUUUUUUCCAGUCAAGUCCCAGUCAACCACAACAUGGACCUCUCAGAGUACAGAAACUACGACGAAAGCAGCCUCCACUAUUAGAGAACAGCAACCUGGUGUUCAGCUGUUGGCCUCACCAGACUACCCAGUUCUAGCAGGUCAGAGAGUGCACCUGCAGUGCAAAUCUCUCAUCGUUUCAACGGUCGAUGUCGAUUGGUCUUGGCAAUUCCUGAAAGGUCAGACAUGGAAAGAGGUCGACAGUGAUGAGGAACUCGUUCUUACAAAACCAGAACAAAGUGGCGUGUACCGCUGCCAGGCCAAGAGUGGAUCCAACUGGAGCCAAAACCAUACAGUUUCCAUUGUUGCCAUAAAUACAUCAAUGGGGGAGUCUCUAGGAAUUGCUGCCUUUAUCCUCUCUCUUCUGAUAUUAAUUAUCAUCAUUGCUGCUCUCCUGCUGGUGGUUUAUCAAAGAAUGAGAAGCCCCAAAACUCCCUCCAGUCCUGCAGUGAAAGUUGAUCCUGGACCCAAAGUUGUACCAAAAGGAGGGUGUCCUACAGACGAAAGUGAUGGAGACGUGUACAUAAACUACACAGUAGGAAAAAGCAGCGACUACACAGAUCUGGACCCUUCCAGUAUGUCUGCAGAUAAUGUGUAUUCAUCUGUGUGA